GAAUUAAAAAUAAAUAUAAUAAUUUAUUUUAAUUUUAAUUUAAGUGUAUUUUUACAGUGUAAUAUGAAAUCAUUUCAAAAUUAUUAUAAAUGAAUAAAUAAUUUAUUUUAAAUUUAAAUCAUAUGAUUUUUAGUUAUAGAUUUUUUUUAAAAAAAAUCUUACAUAUGUAUAUAUAUAUAUAUAUAUAUAUACACACAUAUGGAUACGCUUUCAACACGUACUCGCUUCCUAAUUUUUUAAAAAAUCUCACUUAUGUGCUUCCAUACGCUUCCGCUUCCACGUACCCGCUUAAGUUUCCAUGUAACAUAACUGUAGGUAAACUUAAAAUACCAUGAAUAUGUAUUAUUAAUCUGCAAAAGAAGCGGUUUACGUAGUUUCUAGAUAUAAACGUAAUCCCUUAUAUAUUAAUUAAGAAAUAUUACAACGUUAUUUUGUAACCACGUGUCACCAUGAGAAUGAAAUUCAGAAUUCUUAGAUGAGUAUUUUUAAGAAUUUUUCAUCAAUAGGUUGUAUUUUUAAAUAAUUUUCUUAAAAACUGUUAUUUUUGAAAAGUUUUCAUUUUCUUGAGAAAUAUUGUAGAUUUGGGUUUGUGUGUAAGAAAUUAGGAUACCAAGAAUAUUUGUGGAUAGAUGAGUAUUUUGUAAGAAUUUUUCAUCAAUAGGUUGUAUUUUUAAAUUAUUCUCUUAAAAACUGUUAUUUUUGGAAAGUUUUCAUUUUUUUGAGAAAUAUUGUAGAUUUGGGUUUGUGAUUUAUAAAUUAGGAUAACAAGAAUACUUGUGGAUAGAUGAGUAUUCUUUAAGAAUUUUUCAUCAAUAUAUUGUAUUUUUAAAUAAUUUUCUUAAAAACUGCUAUUUUGGGAAAGUUUUCAUUUUCUUGAGAAAUAUUGUAGAUUUGGGAUUGUUAUUUAUAAAUUAGGAUAA
This is a long non-coding RNA of Brassica rapa (field mustard), 920 nucleotides long. RefSeq lists it as uncharacterized. NCBI's taxonomy places the organism in Eukaryota, Viridiplantae, Streptophyta, Magnoliopsida, Brassicales, Brassicaceae. The record is from RefSeq and is a predicted model, not a curated record.